UCAACUAAAGUGAAUCUGAAUCUUCAACUAGAGCUUUUAUCAUUAUUGUUUCCUCUUUAUUUUUAUUUGCUUUAUUUAUUUGCUUUCAUCAUUAGAUUAAUUGAAUCAAUCUCAAAACCCCUUUUUUUACUUUACUUGCACUUUAUUUUCAUUGUCUAUUUAUUUUCUGUUUGUUUAUUUGGUCUUGACAAGAAAGAUAGGUAAGUAUCAAUUCCCUGUGGAUUCGAUCCUUUCACCACUAUCUACAGUAUUUAUAUUGUUGAUAAAUGAAUUGAUU
This 277-nucleotide long non-coding RNA is filed under the name Manihot esculenta (cassava). RNAcentral describes it as "long non-coding RNA (MESC_LNC011047)". Lineage: Eukaryota; Viridiplantae; Streptophyta; Magnoliopsida; Malpighiales; Euphorbiaceae. The record is from RNAcentral.